UUGGCAUCUCAUUAAUGAAGAAGGGCUGGUGUCUCUCAUUACAGUUAGAGUGAGUGAGAGGACCUCAGAACUAAUUUACUUGCUCUCACUAGGGAAGACACUUGCCUCCAUCAAGAACUUCACUUUCCUGCUGCCUGUGGCAAUAAAAGAACCCGUUUUGUUUUAACAUUAAUAAGGAAAUUCCACUCAUUGAUAAAGCUCGGCUUUGACACCCCUGCUCACAAUGAAAUACCUUCCUUGCCAACCACAUUGCUUUAUGAUCGUGCCCCUUUACCACAUUGUACUUGAAAUGCCUUGUCAUUUAAGAAACCAUAAAAACGACGUCUUUAAAAAUGGGUUCGUCAUUUAGCUGGAGAUGGCUUCUGUGCCUGGAACCAGAAGCCUGUCCUCUCGGUGGUAUGCCUCCACAAAAGGAAGCGAGCUACCACAAAGGACAGCAUCAUGUGUUGCCUUGAUUGCUACUGAAUCGG
This 470-nucleotide non-coding RNA is filed under the name Pongo abelii (Sumatran orangutan). The record is from RNAcentral. Lineage: Eukaryota; Metazoa; Chordata; Mammalia; Primates; Hominidae.